AUCACUGGCAAUUCCAAUCAUCUUAGGAUGAUUACACUCAUCUUAGAAUAAGCAUAUAACAAGCAACAACAGUUUCCAUCCCAAUUCCUGCGCAGGAAAAGUCAUUGGAAGAGCAACACAGCAUUCUGGAGAAGAAGCUCAUGGAGAAUGACAAUAAUCACAAGGCUUCUAAAGACUCUCUCCCCAACCUCAACACCAGAACUUACCCAGAGAGAGCUGCGGUUGGAGUGGAGCGACCUGUCCAGCCCGGUGCCGGUAAGAAGAGUGAUAGUUUACCUCCAUGGAUGCUUAGCCAUGUCGAAGGAAGAUGAGAACUUUCCACCAUUGGCAACCUGAGC
Molecule: long non-coding RNA, 338 nt
Organism: Musa acuminata AAA Group (dessert banana)
Lineage: Eukaryota; Viridiplantae; Streptophyta; Magnoliopsida; Zingiberales; Musaceae
Exons: 3
Source: RefSeq, a predicted model, not a curated record